This 253-nucleotide ribosomal RNA is filed under the name uncultured bacterium. Its description in RNAcentral is "partial 16S ribosomal RNA". It matches the Rfam family "Bacterial small subunit ribosomal RNA", at positions 524 to 776 of the family's 1533-position model. The record is from RNAcentral.
UACGUAGGGGGCAAGCGUUAUCCGGAUUUACUGGGUGUAAAGGGAGCGCAGGCGGCACGGCAAGCCUGAUGUGAAAGCCCGCGGCCCAACCGCGGGACUGCAUUGGGAACUACCGGGCUGGAGUGCCGGAGAGGUAGGCGGAAUUCCUAGUGUGGCGGUGAAAUGCGUAGAUAUUAGGAGGAACACCAGUGGCGAAGGCGGCCUACUGGACGGUGACUGACGCUGAGGCUCGAAAGCGUGGGGAGCAAACAGG